Long non-coding RNA from Hemicordylus capensis (graceful crag lizard), 1069 nucleotides. RefSeq lists it as uncharacterized. Lineage: Eukaryota; Metazoa; Chordata; Lepidosauria; Squamata; Cordylidae. The transcript has 2 exons. The record is from RefSeq and is a predicted model, not a curated record.
AGUCUCCUCCUUAGAAAAAGGGAGGGAGGAGAGGAGGAGGCAAAAGAUGGCGCUGGCGGCGCAAGCGCAGCCAGGGCGCAGACAUAAAGGACUCGUCUAGAGCAAAAGAGGCGGCCUAAGAGCUUCGGCUCAAGCUGGCGGAAAUUGCCGAAGCGAGUGCGGGGUGGGCUUCGACUGACGAAUCCGCAGCGGGGAGGCGGCCGGCACCGCCCGCGAGAUCACCCUCGCGAUUUUCUCUCUCCCUCCCCGUGGGGGUUCCAAAAAGACUUGGAUUGGCGAGGUGCAAAACGGCGAUUCCCACUUUGCGUUUUAACAUUGCAAGCUUGUCCCACCCACCCCCACCGCCGUGUAAAUAGAUCCAAGGAUCUGUACUUUUGAGGGUUUUGUUUCGCUUUCCACAGGGCAGGGAGGCAGAAGGGAAGAAUCUCCCUUUGUAUUCACAGGUGCCUUUUGUGUAGCAGCCAGGGCAGCGCAGCAGCAGCAUCAAAGCGCCAGUUGCCAUGUGCUGCGCUCUUGGGACGCCGGCGGGGUCGGAAGGAGUUGAUUGGCGGGCCGGCAGUCGGUCAAGGGUUGGAAAGCAAAAAGGUGGUCGGGUGUAAGGCCUCCUGAGCUGACUCAACAUCCCCGACCGGCCACCCCCACGCCGCCGAGACUUUGCUUGUACUGUACUCCCGAGGUGCUGCUUGGUUCAAUGAGUUGCAGGGCUGCAUUUCCGGGACUGUUGCCCUGUCUGGCAGGGAUGAUGGUACUUUCAAGAUCUAGGGGUGCUGCAGAUCCCUUCCACUCACUGUGCCAAGCCACUUCCACUACACUUUCUCUUGGUUCCAUCCAUGCCAAGCUCCUUCUUCAUGUUCUGUGAAUGGAAGAUCCUCUGCCACGAUAGGUAAAUAAAAACUCCAUCUUUAGAAGCAGAACACCUGUGAAUGCCAGAUACUCAGGGAAGAAGUCUGGCCCUCUCUGGCAAGUUCUCCUGUGACUGUUUGUUUGUUGGUAGAUGGUUACAUUUUAUUUCUGUUCUCUGGGUGAACUGGAACAGAUACAUAAAGCAGCAAGUAAAUUGUUUACUUGA